AUACAAAAUCAGAUUAUAUAGAUUGAACGAUGUAAAUUAUGCUGU
This 45-nucleotide non-coding RNA is filed under the name Trypanosoma brucei brucei. The record is from RNAcentral. Lineage: Eukaryota; Euglenozoa; Kinetoplastea; Trypanosomatida; Trypanosomatidae.